RNAcentral lists this ribosomal RNA (497 nucleotides) under uncultured bacterium. Its description in RNAcentral is "partial 16S ribosomal RNA". It matches the Rfam family "Bacterial small subunit ribosomal RNA", at positions 28 to 507 of the family's 1533-position model. The record is from RNAcentral.
GAUGAACGCUGGCGGCGUGCCUAAUACAUGCAAGUCGAGCGAACGGACGAGAAGCUUGCUUCUCUGAUGUUAGCGGCGGACGGGUGAGUAACACGUGGAUAACCUACCUAUAAGACUGGGAUAACUUCGGGAAACCGGAGCUAAUACCGGAUAAUAUUUUGAACCGCAUGGUUCAAAAGUGAAAGACGGUCUUGCUGUCACUUAUAGAUGGUUCCGCGCUGCAUUAGCUAGUUGGUAAGGUAACGGCUUACCAAGGCAACGAUGCAUAGCCGACCUGAGAGGGAGAUCGGCCACACUGGAACUGAGACACGGACCAGACUCCUACGGGAGGCAGCAGUAGGGAAUCUUCCGCAAUGGGCGAAAGCCUGACGGAGCAACGCCGCGUGAGUGAUGAAGGUCUUCGGAUCGUAAAACUCUGUUAUUAGGGAAGAAAAUAUGUGUAAGUAACUGUGCACAUCUUGACGGUACCUAAUCAGAAAGCCACGGCUAACUACGUG